Molecule: non-coding RNA, 185 nt
Filed under: Gracilibacillus halotolerans
Lineage: Bacteria; Bacillati; Bacillota; Bacilli; Caryophanales; Bacillaceae
Description: 6S / SsrS RNA
Rfam family: 6S / SsrS RNA
About the family: E. coli 6S RNA was the first non coding RNA to be sequenced, but its function was unknown until recently. It consists of 184 nucleotides that fold into an extended hairpin structure with a large single-stranded internal bulge.
Source: Rfam by way of RNAcentral
AGAUUCCUGAUGUGUUAGUCACCAUAUGAAGUUUUGACCGAACACCAAUUAAUACGGGAGUCCUUGUUCAUUCUAUGGAGUGCGUGCCGGUUUUGUCCGGAAGCAUGAAGUAGGAGGCGGGACACCCACCUGCCUAGAGCGGGAUCAAAACCUCAGUAAAACGUGACGGCACGAUUGGGAUAAGA